UAAGAACAUACUUAAGGAAAAAAAUAAGAACUUUCUUAAGAAACUUUUUUGAGAAUACAAAAUAUUCUUAACUUUUUUCUUAAGCUUGAAUUUAAGAUAAAAAUGGCAGUUAAGAAGAUUUUUCUUCUUAAGAAUGUUUUGUGAAUCCGGCCCCUGAUCUCUUGAAAAAGUAACUCGUCGAAAAUAUUUUUGUUUUGUUUCGAAUGUAAUAUACGUGUUGUUAAUUUGCUUGUUAUAAGCUAGGUCUUUGUUGUUAUUUUUGCUUAGCAGAGUUUAACGGAAGUUAUGUGUUUUCCACAAAAGCCUCUUUACUGUAAGUUAUGUUGUUACUGCUGAAACCGUCUAUAAGCGUUAGCUUUUGCUCUUGUUUAUGAGCGUUUGGGCUUUUGAAAACAUAGAUGAGAGGUUUCAAAGUCUUUGUUAACGUUGUCAGUGCAUGACUGGAAGUAGGCAAAUUUAUUUAGCCUAAAUAUGCGAUGUACUGUAACAUCUAAACUGUGUUAAAUUGGACGGAACGCUGAAGCUACUAACGUUAGUACGUAUGUUUUAUCGUAUACAAAUACAGACAUGUUGUUCUCUGAUUCCGGAGUGACAAAAACCCUCUAUAAUAGAAGAGAAGCUCAAGAUUUCAACAUUUUCUGAAGGGAGUUGCAGACAGAUGUAGAAAACUGCUUUUCAAAUUUUCCACAUUUAUCACAGUUAUUUUAAGAUGUUGACAUCCAAACAUUGAAUGUUAUGUUUGUAGAUUUGUCCAUGCUAAUGGCCGAGCAGUAGGGUUGGAACAGAGCUGUCAGAAAACAUCUCUAAACCAUAUGACUAAUUUCAAAACAAUUUAUUCUUGAGAGGAGGCACCACAGUUAAAGACGGUGUUUUGAAGAAUUAUGAACUUCCUGCUCACAAACUACAUACUUCUCCAGUUAGUCUGACAGGCUAUCAAUGAGAAGGCGGCAUUACAGGACACCACAGAAAACUAUACCACUAAAAACUGAUUAUUGCUGCAGUCAGAAGAAACAGAUUAACAGCAACUAUCUGCUACAGACCAAGAGAUUGAGCACUGGGUUAAGACAUGGUUGCAGCUUGCCACAGACAGAGAUGGAGGUCGUUGCGCAAAAGAGAAGAUUUAAAGGCAUAGCUCAUGUGGAAAUUAAUUUUGUUCCAUUUUAUAUUUCUUUAAUUAAUCAUUUUAUUCUAUAAACAUUGUGUGUGUUUCAUAUAUGCACUGAGCUAUUAUGUAGAAAUGAGGUGUUUGUGUUUGAGAGUGGAAAGUUACUGAGGGGGAGCAGCUUGUGUGCUGUGUAAAAGCUGCAAAGGAGAUUAGCUAGGAAUGUGCAUCUGGUAAUAGUCAAGAUAAGAGCGAGGCCUGAGGAAGAAAAGCAAACAGACAACCAUGUUAUUAACCAAUGCUUUAAUAUUCACAGGAUAAAAUAUGCAAUGUAUUUCUUACUUAAUCAGUAUUAAUCAUUGAAUAAUUGAUGUAAUAAAUAUAAGAUGUUGUCUUGGAUAAAUGUGUAUUAACCAAUGAAAUGAAGGUUGCAUACAGAAUAACCUAAUGGGGGCAUGGCAGCUCAACCUUGAAGAACAGAAUCUCCUGUGCUUGUUCUUUGUGUGUGUGUGUGUGUGUGUGUGUGUGUGUGUGUGUGUGUGUGUCAUUUCUUCCCUAACAGGCUGAAACUGGGCAUGGUAAGGGAGUCAGAUUAACGAGGAAAAGCAGCCUUUGUGGGUGGAGAUUCUAAGAAGAAGAUCGACGUCACAUACUCUAUAAAUAAUUGUUUCCCCAAAUGCUGGGGGUUCGUUGCUUGCCGAUUGUGGCUUUGAAAUGACCCAGCGCGCUGUAAAACUUUUUCAUAUCUGAUCAAUAAAUAUUCAAUUUAGAUAUUUGUGUCUUUCUCAAAUUAUGAACAUGCAUUGGAUGCCUUAAAGUCCAACAAUUGGUGAUCCCCGACGUUGUUGGAGGGAAAAGAAGAUUAAGAGAAGUUUCGAAUUGCUUAAGGUUGAGUAAGGGAGGGCUCCAUUUCAACACAAAAGACCGGUCUUCUAAAACAAAGGUAAGCAGAAACCUGUUUUAUCAAAUUCUGCUAUUGGACAUAUACCAAAUUAAUUGUGUUGAUAAGGAGAUCCAAACUGAAAGUAAUAAUUGAAUAAAAGAUCAGAUUCAAAAACUUAAAAAAAAAAUAA
Molecule: non-coding RNA, 2175 nt
Organism: Misgurnus anguillicaudatus (oriental weatherfish)
Lineage: Eukaryota; Metazoa; Chordata; Actinopteri; Cypriniformes; Cobitidae
Source: RefSeq, a predicted model, not a curated record